This 776-nucleotide ribosomal RNA is filed under the name uncultured Neocallimastigales. RNAcentral's name for it is "partial large subunit ribosomal RNA". It matches the Rfam family "Eukaryotic large subunit ribosomal RNA", at positions 24 to 649 of the family's 3401-position model. The record is from RNAcentral. Lineage: Eukaryota; Fungi; Neocallimastigomycota; Neocallimastigomycetes; Neocallimastigales.
UAUGUGAUCGUCUCUCGCAUAUCAAUAAGCGGAGGAAAAGAAACUAACAAGGAUUCCCCUAGUAACGGCGAGUGAAGCGGGAAGAGCUCAAAUUUGAAAUCUUAAAGGGUUUCCCUUUACGAAUUGUAGUUUAAAGAAGUGUUUUCUGUUGAGGUUUUGGUAAAAGUUCUUUGGAAUAGGACAUCAUAGAGGGUGAGAAUCCCGUAUUUGACCUUUACUUUCAACUUUGUGAUACACUUUCAAAGAGUCGGAUUGUUUGGGAAUGCAGUCCAAAAUGGGUGGUAAAUUUCAUCUAAAGCUAAAUAUUGGCGAGAGACCGAUAGCGAACAAGUACCGUGAGGGAAAGAUGAAAAGAACUUUGAAAAGAGAGUUAAACAGUACGUGAAAUUGUCAAAAGGGAAGCGUUUGACACCAGCGUUGUUUUUCUGAAAAUCAAUUAAAGAACUGUUUAUGCUAAGCUGUUUAGACUUUAUCAGCUAAUCUGUUUAGUUUUGAGCUUUUCUUUAAUGCACUUUUCAGUUAACAAGUCAACAUCAAUUUCUUUUGCUGUAAAAAAGCUUGAGGAAGGUGGCUUGAGAUUCGUCUUAAGUAGUUUAUAGCCUCUUGCCUAUGCAGUCGGAGAGAUUGAGGUCUGCAGCGUAGAUCCUUCGGGGCUAAAUGCAUUUGUGCUAAGUUAUAGCAUUUUAUAGACAACUUGUUGACUAUGAUUUGUCUUGUAGCUUACUCGCUUAUGUUAUUUUACCUACGCUUAGGAUGUUGAGUAGCGACAUACGCAC